Molecule: ribosomal RNA, 253 nt
Filed under: uncultured bacterium
Lineage: Bacteria
Description: partial 16S ribosomal RNA
Rfam family: Bacterial small subunit ribosomal RNA
Source: RNAcentral
UACGAAGGGGGCUAGCGUUGCUCGGAAUCACUGGGCGUAAAGCGCACGUAGGCGGGUCUUUAAGUCGGAGGUGAAAUCCUGGAGCUCAACUCCAGAACUGCCUUCGAUACUGGAGAUCUUGAGUCCGGAAGAGGUAAGUGGAACUGCGAGUGUAGAGGUGAAAGUCGUAGAUAUUCGCAAGAACACCAGUGGCGAAGGCGGCUUACUGGUCCGGUACUGACGCUGAGGUGCGAAAGCGUGGGGAGCAAACAGG